RNAcentral lists this ribosomal RNA (305 nucleotides) under uncultured bacterium. Its description in RNAcentral is "bacterial SSU rRNA". It matches the Rfam family "Bacterial small subunit ribosomal RNA", at positions 331 to 637 of the family's 1533-position model. The record is from RNAcentral.
CUGGGCCUACGGGGGGCAGCAGUGAGGAAUAUUGGUCAAUGGGCGAGAGCCUGAACCAGCCAAGUCGCGUGAGGGAGUACUGCCCUAUGGGUUGUAAACCUCUUUUGUCGGGGAGCAAAGGCCGGACGUGUCCGGCUGUGAGAGUACCCGAAGAAAAAGCAUCGGCUAACUCCGUGCCAGCAGCCGCGGUAAUACGGAGGAUGCGAGCGUUAUCCGGAUUUAUUGGGUUUAAAGGGUGCGUAGGCGGGCUGUUAAGUCAGCGGUCAAAUGUCGGGGCUCAACCCCGGCCUGCCGUUGAAACUGGG